AAGUCGUAACAAGGUUUCCGUAGGUGAACCUGCGGAAGGAUCAUUAACGAGUUAGGGUCUUUUAGGCCCGAUCUCCCAACCCUUUGUUUACCAAACCGUUUUGUUGCUUCGGCGAGCCCGUCUUCACGGACCGCCGGGGGACCUAUCCAGGACCCCUGGCCCGCGCUCGUCGAUGGCCCAAACCUUUAAAUUCUUAACUAAACGUGUUAUGACUGAGUACCAAUUUUUAAUUAAAAGCAAAACUUUCAACAACGGAUCUCUUGGUUCUG
Molecule: unclassified non-coding RNA, 269 nt
Filed under: Veronaea brunnea
Lineage: Eukaryota; Fungi; Ascomycota; Eurotiomycetes; Chaetothyriales; Herpotrichiellaceae
Description: Exophiala brunnea partial internal transcribed spacer region
Rfam family: Eukaryotic small subunit ribosomal RNA (bases 1-46)
Source: RNAcentral